RNAcentral lists this long non-coding RNA (360 nucleotides) under Homo sapiens (human). RNAcentral describes it as "non-protein coding lnc-GAB4-3:1". The record is from RNAcentral. Lineage: Eukaryota; Metazoa; Chordata; Mammalia; Primates; Hominidae.
AUGAGGCUCCCUGCUCAGCUCCUGGGGCUGCUAAUGCUAUGGGUCCCUGGGUCCAGUGGGGAUAUUAUGAUGACCCAAACUCCACUCUCCCUGCUCGUCACCCCUGGAUAGCUGGCCUCCAUCUCCUUCUGCAGGUCUAGUCACAGCCUUGUAUACAGGGGGGAAUAAACCUAUUUGGUACCUGCAGAAGCCAGGCCAGUCUCUACAGCUCCUGAUCUAUUUGGUUUUGAACCGGGCCUCUGCAGUCCCAGACAGGCUCAGUGGCAGUGGGUCAGGCACUGAUUUCACACUGAAAAUCAGCCGGGUGGAGGCUGAAGAUGUUGGGGUUUAUCACUGCAUGCAAGCUCUACAAACUCCUCC